Molecule: ribosomal RNA, 582 nt
Filed under: uncultured Paludibacter sp.
Lineage: Bacteria; Pseudomonadati; Bacteroidota; Bacteroidia; Bacteroidales; Paludibacteraceae
Description: bacterial SSU rRNA
Rfam family: Bacterial small subunit ribosomal RNA
Source: RNAcentral
CCUACGGGAGGCAGCAGUGAGGAAUAUUGGUCAAUGGGCGAGAGCCUGAACCAGCCAAGUCGCGUGAAGGAAGAAGGUCUUAUGGAUUGUAAACUUCUUUUAUAGGGGAAUAAAGAUGAGUACGCGUACUCAGUUGUAGGUACCCUAAGAAUAAGGAUCGGCUAACUCCGUGCCAGCAGCCGCGGUAAUACGGAGGAUCCGAGCGUUAUCCGGAUUUAUUGGGUUUAAAGGGUGCGUAGGCGGGUUGAUAAGUCAGUGGUGAAAGGUUUGCGCUCAACGUAGACAUUGCCAUUGAAACUGUCAGUCUUGAGUACAAAUGAGGUAGGCGGAAUGUGUUGUGUAGCGGUGAAAUGCAUAGAUAUGACACAGAACACCAAUUGCGAAGGCAGCUUACUGGGAUGUAACUGACGCUGAGGCACGAAAGCGUGGGGAUCAAACAGGAUUAGAUACCCUGGUAGUCCACGCAGUAAACGAUGAUUACUAGCUGUUAGCGAUAGAAUGUUAGUGGCUAAGCGAAAGCGAUAAGUAAUCCACCUGGGGAGUACGACCGCAAGGUUGAAACUCAAAAGCUGAAUUGACGGA